RNAcentral lists this ribosomal RNA (253 nucleotides) under uncultured bacterium. Its description in RNAcentral is "partial 16S ribosomal RNA". It matches the Rfam family "Bacterial small subunit ribosomal RNA", at positions 524 to 776 of the family's 1533-position model. The record is from RNAcentral.
UACGUAGGGUGCGAGCGUUGUCCGGAAUUAUUGGGCGUAAAGGGCUCGUAGGCGGUCUGUCGCGUCGGGAGUGAAAACUCAGGGCUUAACCCUGAGCCUGCUUCCGAUACGGGCAGACUAGAGGUAUGCAGGGGAGAACGGAAUUCCUGGUGUAGCGGUGGAAUGCGCAGAUAUCAGGAGGAACACCGGUGGCGAAGGCGGCAUCCUGGACCGAUACUGACGCUGAGGAGCGAAAGCCAGGGGAGCAAACGGG